RNAcentral lists this ribosomal RNA (252 nucleotides) under uncultured bacterium. RNAcentral's name for it is "partial 16S ribosomal RNA". It matches the Rfam family "Bacterial small subunit ribosomal RNA", at positions 524 to 776 of the family's 1533-position model. The record is from RNAcentral.
UACGGAGGGUGCAAGCGUUAUCCGGAAUCACUGGGUUUAAAGGGUACGUAGGCGGCGGUAUAAGUCAGACGUUAAAGACCGGGGCUAAACCUCGGCACGCGUUUGAAACUGUACGGCUUGAAUCUGUUCGAGGUGCAUGGAAUGCUUCAUGUAGCGGUGAAAUGCAUAGAUAUGAAGUAGAACACCAAAUGCGAAGGCAGUGCACUAGGGCAGUAUUGACGCUGAGGUACGAAAGCGUGGGUAGCGAACAGG